AGAGUUUGAUCCUGGCUCAGGACGAACGCUGGCGGCGCGCUUAACACAUGCAAGUCGAGCGAGAACCAGGGCUUCGGCCCUGGGGACAGCGGCGAACGGGUGAGUAACACGUGGAUAACCUGCCCUCGGCACCGGGAUAGCCCGGGGAAACCCGGAUUAAUACCGGAUUGCCCUUCCGGCUCUCGAGCUGGACGGAAAAGGUAGCUUCGGCCUCCGGCCGAGGAUGGGUCCGCGGCGGAUUAGCUUGUUGGCGGGGUAACGGCCCACCAAGGCGACGAUCCGUAGCUGGUCUGAGAGGACGAUCAGCCACACUGGGACUGAGACACGGCCCAGACUCCUACGGGAGGCAGCAGUGGGGAAUCUUGCGCAAUGGGCGAAAGCCUGACGCAGCGACGCCGCGUGAGGGAAGAAGGCCUUCGGGUUGUAAACCUCUUUCAGGAGGGACGAAGCUACUCGGGUGAAUAGCCCAGAGGGUGACGGUACCUCCAGAAGAAGCCCCGGCUAACUACGUGCCAGCAGCCGCGGUAAUACGUAGGGGGCAAGCGUUGUCCGGAUUUACUGGGCGUAAAGCGCGUGUAGGCGGCCAUGCAGGUCCGUUGUGAAAACUGAAGGCUUAACCUUCAGACGUCGACGGAAACCGCGUGGCUAGAGUCCGGAAGAGGAGAGUGGAAUUCCUGGUGUAGCGGUGAAAUGCGCAGAUAUCAGGAAGAACACCAAUGGCGAAGGCAGCUCUCUGGGACGGUACUGACGCUGAGACGCGAAAGCGUGGGGAGCGAACAGGAUUAGAUACCCUGGUAGUCCACGCCGUAAACGAUGGGUGCUAGGUGUGGGAGGUGUCGACUCCUUCCGUGCCGCAGCUAACGCAUUAAGCACCCCGCCUGGGGAGUACGGCCGCAAGGCUAAAACUCAAAUGAAUUGACGG
RNAcentral lists this ribosomal RNA (922 nucleotides) under uncultured bacterium. RNAcentral's name for it is "bacterial SSU rRNA". It matches the Rfam family "Bacterial small subunit ribosomal RNA", at positions 8 to 916 of the family's 1533-position model. The record is from RNAcentral.